Molecule: unclassified non-coding RNA, 643 nt
Filed under: Hevea brasiliensis (rubber tree)
Lineage: Eukaryota; Viridiplantae; Streptophyta; Magnoliopsida; Malpighiales; Euphorbiaceae
Source: RNAcentral
CAACAACUCUCCAUUUCGCCAUUUUUCUGUGCUUCGAUUUUUCUUGCUUCUCUCUGCACUCUCCAUUUUCGAUCUUCUUUCUGAUUACUUCGUUCGGAAGGAGGGAGAUCACAAACCAUGGCUUUCCAGAAGAUCAAGGUCGCCAAUCCCAUCGUUGAGAUGGACGGAGAUGAAAUGACUCGAGUUAUCUGGGAAUCAAUUAAGAAUAAGCUCAUUUUCCCCUUCUUGGAAUUGGACAUCAAGUAUUUUGACCUCGGCCUUCCACACCGUGAUGCCACAGAUGAUAAAGUUACAAUUGAAAGUGCAGAAGCUACUUUAAAGUACAAUGUAGCAAUCAAAUGUGCAACAAUCACUCCAGAUGAGGCACGUGUUAAGGAAUUUGGCUUGAAGCAGAUGUGGAGAAGUCCGAAUGGGACAAUCAGGAAUAUUCUGAAUGGUACUGUUUUCAGAGAACCAAUUCUUUGCAAAAAUGUUCCUCGCCUUGUACCAGGUUGGACGAAGCCUAUCUGUAUUGGAAGACAUGCUUUUGGUGAUCAAUACAGAGCUACUGAUACAGUUAUUAAAGGACCUGGAAAAUUGAAAUUAGUUUUUGAGGGGCAAGAGACGCAAGAGAUAGAGGUUUUCAAUUUUACUGGUGCUGGAG